RNAcentral lists this ribosomal RNA (278 nucleotides) under uncultured bacterium. RNAcentral's name for it is "partial 16S ribosomal RNA". It matches the Rfam family "Bacterial small subunit ribosomal RNA", at positions 28 to 307 of the family's 1533-position model. The record is from RNAcentral.
GACGAACGCUGGCGGCGUGCUUAACACAUGCAAGUCGAGCGGUAAGGCCCUUCGGGGUACGACGAGCGGCGAACGGGUGAGUAACACGUGGGUGACCUGCCUCUAGCUCUGGGAUAAGCCUGGGAAACUGGGUCUAAUACCGGAUAUGACUCCACGGCGCAUGUUGGUGGGGUGGAAAGCCUUGUGUGGCUAGAGAUGGGGCCCGCGGCCUAUCAGCUUGUUGGUGGGGUGAGGCCCUACCAAGGCGACGACGGGUAGCCGGCCUGAGAGGCGACCGG